UUCACCAAAUGGAUGAGCUGAACGACGAGCUGCUAAAGAAGAUCACAAACAAUAAAAUUCAGCCUCCCCACAGGAAUUUCAAAGUGGAAAAGCCUCGGAAGUUUUUGUGCCCCUCACCUUUGAAUCCAGCACUGAAGAAGUCAAAGCCUGGCUGGAGGCCAAGUCAUUCAGCAAAGAGACCGUGGAACACCUGGGCAUCCUCACCGGAGCUCAGCUCUUCUCCCUCAACAGAGAGGAGCUGAAGAAGGUGUGUGGUGCUGAGGGGAACAGAGUCUACAGCAAGAUCACGGUGGAGAAAAACCAGCUGGAGAAAAGCAGAGGAGAGUCAGAGCUCCAAGAAAUCAUGAAGCGCCGCCAGGAAAGAAUUGAUGCUGCUAAUUAAAGUCCCUCUGCUUGUUCAGCUCUUAGCCCUAAGUAGUGCAGGAAAAAAGGGAACGAAAGCGAUGAUUCCUGGCCCAGGCCGGAGGCAGCAGAGCUCCCCUUGGGCUCCAGCUGCCCUCAGAGUGACAAUUCCUUCAACACUGUUGGGAAGGGUUGACAAUAAGACCACGUCCCACUGGGAAAGGUGUUUUAAUUUCGCAUGAAGCAUUUUUUUUUUUUAUAACUAUCUAUUUUAUACUGACAUUUUCCGUGCAUGCGAUCGGAGCAGCAUUCCCACGGGGCUCGACGGACCACAGGGGCUGGAAUCAAGCACACAAAGACCCCCAGAGCUUUUCUCCAGGGCUGUCCCUGCUCCCAGCCCCUCGCUGGCAGAGCAGGCCUGGCACAGCUCAGGAGAGGCCAGCCCAAGGCCUGGAGCCUGCACCACGGGAAUGAGGCUUUGGAACCCCGCCGUGUUUGGGUUUAAGGAAGGGACAUUAACGCUCGUCCCAUUCCACCCCUGUCACGGGCAGGGACGCUUUCCACAAGCCCGAGUUGUUCCAAAUCCUGUCCAGCCUGGCCUUGGACGCUCCCAGGGAUGGGGAGUCACGACCCAAGGCAGCCUCAUUUCCAUUUCAUUUCCAUUUCCUCCUCAGUGCAGGUGUCCCCUGCAGCCCAGGAGCACGGGCCGGGUGACAACUCCCUGUCCUCCUCCUGCCCCCCUGUGCCCCCUCACUGGACAAGGCUAGAAUGGCAACACACAUUCCCAAAGUCUGGCUGCUUCCGUAAAUCCACGGGCCAGUUAGUGCUGUCUGAAGAGCUGAGAUGAGCUCUCAGUGCCCAGGAACCAGCAGGGGUGACAAACAAAGGGAUCUGAAUCUGGGAACAGGAGAGUUCCACCCGCCCACCGCUGCUGCUGCAGAGGCCAGGGCUCAGGGCAGCUGUGCAGCCCUUCCCUGGGGCACUGAUCCUGCACUGGAAUGUUGUGGUGUUGCCAAACCCGGCCUCAAACCAGGAGAGGAUAAGCCCUGACCGUUUGCUCCCGACCCAGGCACACCCACGGCCCUUCCCAGGGUGUUGGUCACUCGUCCCCACCUUCACGUUUUCAGUGCAAAAAGUCAGCUGAAAUGAUUCCCAAAGAGCUGAAACCCCAAAGCACACUGGGAAGGGCAGGUUUAACUCCAAAUAAAUGGGCACAAGAAAAAAAAAAUCUAAUUUAGCACAGGAUGUUGCUCUUGACUUCCUGUUUUCCUUCAUAAAGUUAUGUGCAUUUAUAUAUAACAAUCUGUAAAUAAGGGUGAGGAAAAUCUCUCUCCCUAGAGGAAGAAUGCUUCCAAAUUUUAU
Molecule: long non-coding RNA, 1704 nt
Organism: Hirundo rustica (Barn swallow)
Lineage: Eukaryota; Metazoa; Chordata; Aves; Passeriformes; Hirundinidae
Exons: 3
Source: RefSeq, a predicted model, not a curated record